AGAGUUUGAUCCUGGCUCAGGACGAACGCUGGCGGCGCGCCUAACACAUGCAAGUCGAACGGAGCUUAAAGAGCUUGCUUUUUAAGCUUAGUGGCGAACGGGUGAGUAACGCGUGAGUAACCUGCCCUAGAGUGGGGGACAACAGUUGGAAACGACUGCUAAUACCGCAUAAGCCCACGGUACCGCAUGGUACUGAGGGAAAAGGAUUUAUUCGCUUUAGGAUGGACUCGCGUCCAAUUAGCUAGUUGGUGAGGUAACGGCCCACCAAGGCGACGAUUGGUAGCCGGACUGAGAGGUUGAACGGCCACAUUGGGACUGAGACACGGCCCAGACUCCUACGGGAGGCAGCAGUGGGGGAUAUUGCACAAUGGGGGAAACCCUGAUGCAGCGACGCCGCGUGGAGGAAGAAGGUUUUCGGAUUGUAAACUCCUGUCGUUAGGGACGAUAAUGACGGUACCUAACAAGAAAGCACCGGCUAACUACGUGCCAGCAGCCGCGGUAAAACGUAGGGUGCAAGCGUUGUCCGGAAUUACUGGGUGUAAAGGGAGCGCAGGCGGGAAGACAAGUUGGAAGUGAAAACCAUGGGCUCAACCCAUGAAUUGCUUUCAAAACUGUUUUUCUUGAGUAGUGCAGAGGUAGAUGGAAUUCCCGGUGUAGCGGUGGAAUGCGUAGAUAUCGGGAGGAACACCAGUGGCGAAGGCGGUCUACUGGGCACCAACUGACGCUGAGGCUCGAAAGCAUGGGUAGCAAACAGGAUUAGAUACCCUGGUAGUCCAUGCCGUAAACGAUGAUUACUAGGUGUUGGGGGAUUGACCCCCUCAGUGCCGCAGUUAACACAAUAAGUAAUCCACCUGGGGAGUACGACCGCAAGGUUGAAACUCAAAGGAAUUGACGGGGGCCCGCACAAGCAGUGGAGUAUGUGGUUUAAUUCGAAGCAACGCGAAGAACCUUACCAGGUCUUGACAUCCGAUGCAUAGCACAGAGAUGUGUGAAAUCCUUCGGGACAUCGAGACAGGUGGUGCAUGGUUGUCGUCAGCUCGUGUCGUGAGAUGUUGGGUUAAGUCCCGCAACGAGCGCAACCCUUAUCUUUUGUAGCCAGCGGUCAGGCCGGGCACUCUAGAGAGACUGCCAGGGAUAACCUGAGGAAGGCGGGGAUGACGUCAAAUCAUCAUGCCCCUUAUGACUUGGGCUACACACGUGCUACAAUGGCGUAAACAAAGGGAAGCAAAGCUGUGAAGCCGAGCAAAUCGCAAAAAUAACGUCUCAGUUCGGACUGUAGUCUGCAACCCGACUACACGAAGCUGGAAUCGCUAGUAAUCGCAGAUCAGAAUGCUGCGGUGAAUACGUUCCCGGGUCUUGUACACACCGCCCGUCACACCAUGGGAGUUGGGAAUGCCCGAAGCCAGUGACCUAACCGAAAGGAAGGAGCUGUCGAAGGCAGGCCCGAUAACUGGGGUGAAGUCGUAACAAGGUA
Molecule: ribosomal RNA, 1474 nt
Filed under: metagenome
Description: bacterial SSU rRNA
Rfam family: Bacterial small subunit ribosomal RNA
Source: RNAcentral